RNAcentral lists this ribosomal RNA (497 nucleotides) under uncultured bacterium. RNAcentral describes it as "partial 16S ribosomal RNA". It matches the Rfam family "Bacterial small subunit ribosomal RNA", at positions 28 to 507 of the family's 1533-position model. The record is from RNAcentral.
GAUGAACGCUGGCGGCGUGCCUAAUACAUGCAAGUCGAGCGAACGGACGAGAAGCUUGCUUCUCUGAUGUUAGCGGCGGACGGGUUAGUAACACGUGGAUAACCUACCUAUAAGACUGGGAUCACUUCGGGAAACCGGAGCUAAUACCGGAUAAUAUUUUGAACCGCAUGGUUCAAAAGUGAAAGACGGUCUUGCUGUCACUUAUAGAUGGAUCCGCGCUGCAUUAGCUAGUUGGUAAGGUAACGGCUUACCAAGGCAACGAUGCAUAGCCGACCUGAGAGGGUGAUCGGCCACACUGGAACUGAGACACGGUCCAGACUCCUACGGGAGGCAGCAGUAGGGAAUCUUCCGCAAUGGGCGAAAGCCUGACGGAGCAACGCCGCGUGAGUGAUGAAGGUCUUCGGAUCGUAAAACUCUGUUAUUAGGGAAGAACAGAUGUGUAAGUAACUGUGCACAUCUUGACGGUACCUAAUCAGAAAGCCACGGCUAACUACGUG